CAGCAGCCGCGGUAAUACGGAGGGUGCAAGCGUUAAUCGGAAUUACUGGGCGUAAAGCGCACGCAGGCGGUCUGACAAGUCAGAUGUGAAAUCCCCGGGCUUAACCUGGGAACUGCAUUUGAAACUGUCAGGCUGGAGUCUUGUAGAGGGGGGUGGAAUUCCAGGUGUAGCGGUGAAAUGCGUAGAGAUCUGGAGGAAUACCGGUGGCGAAGGCGGCCCCCUGGACAAAGACUGACGCUCAGGUGCGAAAGCGUGGGGAGCAAACAGGAUUAGAUACCCGCGUAUCCCUGUCUCUUAUACA
Molecule: ribosomal RNA, 301 nt
Filed under: uncultured bacterium
Lineage: Bacteria
Description: partial 16S ribosomal RNA
Rfam family: Bacterial small subunit ribosomal RNA
Source: RNAcentral